RNAcentral lists this ribosomal RNA (1493 nucleotides) under Listeria monocytogenes. Its description in RNAcentral is "partial 23S ribosomal RNA". It matches the Rfam family "Bacterial large subunit ribosomal RNA", at positions 408 to 1899 of the family's 2925-position model. Lineage: Bacteria; Bacillati; Bacillota; Bacilli; Caryophanales; Listeriaceae. The record is from RNAcentral.
CUGAGUACGGCGGAACACGUGAAAUUCCGUCGGAAUCCGGGAGGACCAUCUCCCAAGGCUAAAUACUCCCUAGUGACCGAUAGUGAACCAGUACCGUGAGGGAAAGGUGAAAAGCACCCCGGAAGGGGAGUGAAACAGUUCCUGAAACCGUGUGCCUACAAGUAGUUAGAGCCCGUUAAUGGGUGAUAGCGUGCCUUUUGUAGAAUGAACCGGCGAGUUACGAUUUGUUGCAAGGUUAAGCGGAAAAAGCGGAGCCGUAGCGAAAGCGAGUCUGAAUAGGGCGCAUAAGUAACAGGUCGUAGACCCGAAACCAGGUGAUCUACCCAUGUCCAGGAUGAAGGUAAGGUAAUACUUACUGGAGGUCCGAACCCACGCACGUUGAAAAGUGCGGGGAUGAGGUGUGGGUAGCGGAGAAAUUCCAAUCGAACUUGGAGAUAGCUGGUUCUCUCCGAAAUAGCUUUAGGGCUAGCCUCGAGGUAAAGAGUCAUGGAGGUAGAGCACUGUUUGGACUAGGGGCCCUUCUCGGGUUACCGAAUUCAGAUAAACUCCGAAUGCCAUGUACUUAUACUCGGGAGUCAGACUGCGAGUGAUAAGAUCCGUAGUCGAAAGGGAAACAGCCCAGACCACCAGUUAAGGUCCCCAAAUAUAUGUUAAGUGGAAAAGGAUGUGGGGUUGCUUAGACAACCAGGAUGUUGGCUUAGAAGCAGCCACCAUUGAAAGAGUGCGUAAUAGCUCACUGGUCGAGUGACCCCGCGCCGAAAAUGUACCGGGGCUAAACAUAUUACCGAAACUGUGGAUGAACCUCUUUAGAGGUUCGUGGUAGGAGAGCGUUCUAAGGGCGGUGAAGUCAGACCGGAAGGACUGGUGGAGCGCUUAGAAGUGAGAAUGCCGGUAUGAGUAGCGAAAGAAGGGUGAGAAUCCCUUCCACCGAAUAUCUAAGGUUUCCUGAGGAAGGCUCGUCCGCUCAGGGUUAGUCGGGACCUAAGCCGAGGCCGAUAGGCGUAGGCGAUGGACAACAGGUAGAGAUUCCUGUACCAGUGCUAAUUGUUUAACCGAUGGGGUGACACAGAAGGAUAGGGAAUCGCACGAAUGGAAAUGUGCGUCCAAGCAGUGAGUGUGAGAAGUAGGCAAAUCCGCUUCUCGCGAAGCAUGAGCUGUGAUGGGGAAGGAAAUUAAGUACGGAAGUUCCUGAUUUCACGCUGUCAAGAAAAGCCUCUAGGAAGAGUAGUACUGCCCGUACCGCAAACCGACACAGGUAGAUGAGGAGAGAAUCCUAAGGUGAGCGAGAGAACUCUCGUUAAGGAACUCGGCAAAAUGACCCCGUAACUUCGGGAGAAGGGGUGCUCUAUUAGGGUGCAAGCCCGAGAGAGCCGCAGUGAAUAGGCCCAGGCGACUGUUUAGCAAAAACACAGGUCUCUGCAAAACCGUAAGGUGACGUAUAGGGGCUGACGCCUGCCCGGUGCUGGAAGGUUAAGAGGAGUGCUUAGCUUCGG